CACAAUUUAAGCAAGAGGACCAUCAACAUGUAGAGGAAAUUCCUUUUUCAGAAAAAUUGCAGUUUACACCUUGUAUUAUAAACAUACAAAACUCUUCCCUGACCAACUGUAUUAUUGGGAACAACAAUAGCCAAUGCAUUACCUGUGACCAGCAUUCUUUGCUCACUCAGAAUGAUGCAAACAGUGUGAAAAAACAGGCGGACAGUCAGAGCCAUGAUCAGCUGAUCCCAGUGCAGGAUACAAUAAGUGGCAGCAGCGUUCACAUGGAGAGAUCCAACAUAGAGUAUGUUAUUAUAGGUGACCGUAACAGUAUGAUAGUCACUGAGAACUCAGAGGUUGAGGAAGAUACAGAGAUUGAGCCUGAAGAGAUUAGUUAAAAUAUGUGAAAUAGUGGGCAGGAGGUCAGACCCACAGUUUUGGAGAGCUGCAGAUUGUCAACUCGCCUUAACAGGCCUGACCUAUGAUUGUACACUGGAAGCAUAAUAUAUGCUUUAAACUGACCAAUGCUCAGGUCUUCAGCAGGAGCUACCAAGCACACUGAAACAUUAUCCUUUAUCGUGGAUUUUCUAAACCUGUGUACAUUGGGGUGGCAAUGAUAUUUGAUACUGCUUUAAUUGCUACUGAACAUGACUACUACUGACGGUUUUAAUGGGUACACCAAUAUUUAUUUGCUUAACAGAAAUGUAUGAAAGUAAAUGUGUUAACUGACAUUGCAAUCAGUUGUUAUUCAGUCUUUAUAAGCUUUCUGUGAUUAUACAUAAAUGUUGUUUACACAGGCUUGUGUCUUUUCAGUAAUAUUUGUAUAUUUAACUUAACUUCUAUAUAUAACUUAAAUAUCUAUUGACAUUGUGAUGGAUAUUCUCCUGAUGUUUCAAUAGUUAUUCUGUAAUAACAGUGUAUUUCUGUGUUCUUUUUUUUGGGGGAAUUUCU
Molecule: long non-coding RNA, 930 nt
Filed under: Sinocyclocheilus anshuiensis
Lineage: Eukaryota; Metazoa; Chordata; Actinopteri; Cypriniformes; Cyprinidae
Description: lncRNA (ENSSANG00000013213.1)
Source: RNAcentral